UGGGGCAUCUCCACUGACAGGUAUCUUUCAGGAGCUGCCUUAUCAUGUACCUGUCAUACAGCCAAAGUAGGAGCAACUGUUCAUUCUAAGAUGCAUAAAUCAGCUUUCCAAGAUGAUGCUCAAGGAGAGUGCUGAAGAGCUCUGAAGAGCUUGAAGGUGGCAGGUACGGGGUGGCACACUUGAACUGCUCCUGGCUGCCCUGGAACAUCCCACUGAAGAUAACAUUUAUGGAAAUGCAAGGAAAAGAAUUGCUCCACCUUGCAGGUACAAAACAAGAUGCCACGUUCCUCACAGCAGCCAGAGUUGGCGUGGAUGAACAGCUCUCCCAGAGGGACCUGCUUCCCUGUGGGAAGAUGCUGCCCAGGACAGUAACGUUUCUGCUACUAGAGCUGAGGGGAAAGGCCAUAUUUGGGACCUGACGUUGGGUCAGAAUUGGAGCUGGAACUUUGAAUACAAUUUUUUUUCCCCCAAAAUGGUCCUGUACUCUACUCUCUCAGCCUUGUCCUCAGGUAAGUGCUCUACUUGCUCUACACUUGAGCACUGAACAAUUUUUCUUGCUGCUUCUGAACACAUCAGGAUGCUGAACUCUCUACUUUUCAUGUCCAUUUUAAUAAUUGAUCAUCUUGAACCUUCCCAUUUUGCUUGGAGUAUAAACUUUUAGUGGGGACACUUUCCUGUUUGCACCCACUCUGUAAAUCUUGAUGUUACUCUUUAAUUGGGACCUUGUUGAUAUUUCUGC
Molecule: long non-coding RNA, 739 nt
Filed under: Manacus vitellinus (golden-collared manakin)
Lineage: Eukaryota; Metazoa; Chordata; Aves; Passeriformes; Pipridae
Description: lncRNA (ENSMVIG00005018510.1)
Source: RNAcentral